UGUAUCUUAAUGCCAACUUUAUUUGCAUGUUGAAGAGGUUGCUGAUUCUAGAGUAGUGCCAAUUAUGAGAUGGUUUGUAUAUCUAAAGGUUUUUAUACCACGGUUUAUCUACGUAAGUUAAGGGAAUAGCUUGAGAUGUGUUUGCCUGGCUCGUAGAAAGUAGUGGAGUUCUCCACAGUGGUCUGAUGCUGGAUUCCAUCGCUUUUACUGUUGUCAUGUGUCCCAUAAGAAAGCCUUUAUUCAGCAUUUUUGGACGUGGUCGGUCGACGAAAGCCACCAAAAAAUAUUCAGCUGAUCUGCCGGUCGAAUCUUACCACAGACCUUAUGCGUACCAUGUUGCAGAUAUUGCCGUUUCAGUUGAUGUAACAAUAUAAUGGUCAGAACACAA
Molecule: long non-coding RNA, 388 nt
Filed under: Pollicipes pollicipes
Lineage: Eukaryota; Metazoa; Arthropoda; Thecostraca; Pollicipedomorpha; Pollicipedidae
Description: uncharacterized LOC119093951
Source: RNAcentral